CCCCAGUAAACGGCGGCCGUAACUAUAACGGUCCUAAGGUAGCGAAAUUCCUUGUCGGGUAAGUUCCGACCCGCACGAAAGGCGUAACGAUUUGGGCACUGUCUCAACAACAGACUCGGUGAAAUUGUAAUUCCGGUGAAGAUGCCGGAUACCUGCGACAGGACGGAAAGACCCCAUGGAGCUUUACUGUAGCUUGACAUUGGGUCUUGGUACUACAUGUACAGGAUAGGUGGGAGGCUUUGAAACCAGGACGCCAGUUUUGGCGGAGCCAUCCU
RNAcentral lists this ribosomal RNA (275 nucleotides) under Clostridioides difficile. Its description in RNAcentral is "partial 23S ribosomal RNA". It matches the Rfam family "Bacterial large subunit ribosomal RNA", at positions 1918 to 2192 of the family's 2925-position model. The record is from RNAcentral. Lineage: Bacteria; Bacillati; Bacillota; Clostridia; Peptostreptococcales; Peptostreptococcaceae.